Molecule: non-coding RNA, 46 nt
Organism: Schistosoma haematobium
Lineage: Eukaryota; Metazoa; Platyhelminthes; Trematoda; Strigeidida; Schistosomatidae
Source: Rfam
ACAUGGCUGAGGAGUCUCACAAUAAGACGAAACGGCCGUCCAAUGC